This 305-nucleotide ribosomal RNA is filed under the name uncultured bacterium. RNAcentral describes it as "bacterial SSU rRNA". It matches the Rfam family "Bacterial small subunit ribosomal RNA", at positions 336 to 658 of the family's 1533-position model. The record is from RNAcentral.
UUCCUACGGGAGGCAGCAGUGGGGAAUAUUGCACAAUGGGGGAAACCCUGAUGCAGCGACGCCGCGUGAAGGAUGAAGUAUUUCGGUAUGUAAACUUCUAUCAGCAGGGAAGAAAAUGACGGUACCUGACUAAGAAGCCCCGGCUAAAUACGUGCCAGCAGCCGCGGUAAUACGUAGGGGGCAAGCGUUAUCCGGAUUUACUGGGUGUAAAGGGAGCGUAGACGGCGCGGCAAGUCUGAAGUGAAAGGCAGGGGCUUAACCCCUGAACUGCUUUGGAAACUGCCAUGCUAGAGUGCUGGAGAGGG